Fragaria vesca subsp. vesca is the source of this 1688-nucleotide RNA transcript. It is a transcript of the gene named beta-glucosidase 12-like, with no coding region annotated. NCBI's taxonomy places the organism in Eukaryota, Viridiplantae, Streptophyta, Magnoliopsida, Rosales, Rosaceae. The transcript has 13 exons. The record is from RefSeq and is a predicted model, not a curated record.
GAUCAGUUAUGGCAUUUCAAGGCACUCUCAACUUUGUAAUCUUACUUGUUUUUAGCUAUGGAUUGGCAACUAGUAUAGCUACCUCCCCUAGCCAUUACGAUGUUACUGCCAUCAACCGGAGCACCUUUCCGGCAGGUUUCAUAUUCGGGACAGCUUCUUCGGCUUACCAGUACGAAGGUGCUGCAAAAGAAGAUGGAAGAGGACCAAGCAUAUGGGACACAUACACUCACACAUUUCCAGAUAAGAUAAAGGACGGCAGCAAUGGAGAUGUCGCUAUUGAUGCAUAUCACCGCUACAAGGAGGAUGUUGGCAUCAUGAAAGAUAUGGGUUUUGAUGCUUACAGAUUCUCCAUCUCGUGGUCUAGAUUGUUACCAAAUGGAACGCUAAGUGGGGGUGUGAAUAAGGAAGGAAUCAAAUACUAUAACAACCUCAUCAACGAGCUUCUAGCCAAUGGUCUAAAACCCUUUGUCACCCUCUUCCAUUGGGAUCUUCCUCAAGCUUUAGAAGAUGCAUACGGUGGAUUCUUAAGCCCUCAAAUUGUAGAUCAUUUCCAAGACUACGCAGAGCUAUGCUUUAAGGAAUUUGGUGAUAGAGUUAAGGACUGGAUCACAUUAAACGAGCCAUGGAGCUACGCCCGUGGUGGUUAUGUAAUCGGGACGUUUGCACCGUGCCGAUGUUCUGAUUGGCAAAACCUGAAUUGCACCGGUGGAGAUUCAGGAACAGAGCCAUAUUUGGCCUCACACUACCAGCUUCUAGCUCACGCAGCCGCCGUAAAGUCAUACAAAGAGAAGUAUCAGGCUGAGCAGAAAGGUGUGAUAGGGAUAACAAUACUUUCCCACUGGUUUGUGCCCUUUUCUGAUGCCAAGCACGAUAAAGAAGCUGCUCUACGAGCAUUGGAUUUUAUGUUUGGAUGGUAUAUGGAUCCCUUAACAUAUGGUGAAUAUCCGCACAGCAUGAGAUCUCUUGUCGGAGAUCGGUUACCGGAGUUCACGAAAGAGCAAUCCGAGAUGUUAAAAGGUUCAUUUGAUUUUCUAGGAUUGAAUUACUACACCGCUAACUAUGCUACUUACGCACCUGAACUCAAGAAUGCUGCAAACCCUAGCUACCUUACAGAUGCUAUCGCUAUUCUUUCCACCGAGCGUAAUGGUAUUCCUAUUGGUCCACAGUCUGCUUCAGAUUGGCUCUAUGUUUAUCCAGAAGGAAUUCGAGAACUUUUGCUUUACACGAAGGAAAAGUACAAUGAUCCACUUAUUUACAUCACUGAAAAUGGAAGGGAUGAGCACAACGAUCCCAAAUUAACACUUGAGGAAGCCCUAGCCGAUACUCACCGAAUCGACUUUUACUAUCAACAUCUUCAUUAUCUUCAUGAAGCGAUCAAGGAUGGCGUUAACGUGAAGGGAUAUUUCGCAUGGUCAUUGUUUGACAACUUCGAAUGGAAUAUGGGUUACAGUGUUAGGUUUGGCAUCAACUAUGUGGAUUACAAUGAUGGCCUCAAGAGAUACCCUAAACUGUCCGCACACUGGUUCAAGAAUUUUCUUGGAAACUAGUCAAGACUUUGGAUCCGGAUCUGUCACGCCAUACCUAAUAAUAUGAUUCAAUCAACAUAUAAGCUUUGUGUAAUAAUGUACCUAUUUGUUCCUUUCAAUAAAAAGACUAUACGCAGUUUAUGUGCGUUUCUUUGUGUAUGA